RNAcentral lists this ribosomal RNA (509 nucleotides) under uncultured Bacillota bacterium. RNAcentral's name for it is "bacterial SSU rRNA". It matches the Rfam family "Bacterial small subunit ribosomal RNA", at positions 396 to 896 of the family's 1533-position model. The record is from RNAcentral. Lineage: Bacteria; Bacillati; Bacillota.
ACCGCGUGAGUGAAGAAGGUUUUCGGAUCGUAAAACUCUGUUGUCAGGGAAGAACAAGUACGAGAGUAACUGCUCGUACCUUGACGGUACCUAACCAGAAAGCCACGGCUAACUACGUGCCAGCAGCCGCGGUAAUACGUAGGUGGCAAGCGUUGUCCGGAAUUAUUGGGCGUAAAGCGCGCGCAGGCGGUCUUUUAAGUCUGAUGUGAAAGCCCACGGCUCAACCGUGGAGGGUCAUUGGAAACUGGGAGACUUGAGUGCAGAAGAGAAGAGUGGAAUUCCACGUGUAGCGGUGAAAUGCGUAGAGAUGUGGAGGAACACCAGUGGCGAAGGCGACUCUUUGGUCUGUAACUGACGCUGAGGCGCGAAAGCGUGGGGAGCAAACAGGAUUAGAUACCCUGGUAGUCCACGCCGUAAACGAUGAGUGCUAAGUGUUAGGGGGUUUCCGCCCCUUAGUGCUGCAGCAAACGCAUUAAGCACUCCGCCUGGGGAGUACGGCCGCAAGGCUG